AUACGAAGGGUGCGAGCGUUAAUCGGAAUUACUGGGCGUAAAGCGCGCGUAGGCGGUUGGAUAAGUCGGAUGUGAAAGCCCCGGGCUCAACCUGGGAAUUGCAUUCGAAACUGUCCGGCUAGAGUAUGGUAGAGGGAAGCGGAAUUCCACAUGUAGCAGUGAAAUGCGUAGAUAUGUGGAGGAACACCGGUGGCGAAGGCGGCUUCCUGGACCAAUACUGACGCUGAGGUGCGAAAGCGUGGGGAGCAAACAGGAUUAGAAACCCGAGUAGUCC
RNAcentral lists this ribosomal RNA (274 nucleotides) under uncultured bacterium. RNAcentral's name for it is "partial 16S ribosomal RNA". It matches the Rfam family "Bacterial small subunit ribosomal RNA", at positions 523 to 796 of the family's 1533-position model. The record is from RNAcentral.